UGUGGAUUUCAAAUCAUGGGAUUUGACCUUAAUCAUCGAAGGACAAUAACUCAAAUUUAGAUAUAAUAGUUUAUUUGUGAAUUUCAAGAUUGAGUUAGCUUUAUCACGAUGGUUUUGAAAUAAUUAUAUAAAACUAGUUAUUUGAAAUUAUGCUAAGAAUUUUCUUUUUAGCUACAAGGAUCCUACUAUAAUAUAUAUAUAUAUAUAUAUCUUCUAUUUCAACUUAUCUUCUUCCAUUGUUUUUUUGAUUUGAAAUACAUAAGGUAGUUUGUUUUGUGUGCGUUUGUUGUUUGGUUGCAGCUAGAGGCGGCUCACGAUAGGGAGAAGGAACUACUUCAGGAAAUAACUGAUUUGCAAUGGAGGUUUUUAUAAUCAUAAACACACGACAUUAUACAUCACAAUGUUAUAAAAAAUCUCAUAGUUUUUGAACAUUGUUUUUCUUUUAAAAUUUUCUUUUAAUUUUUUAUGCAAGCUAAUAUGUGCCCAAGAGGAGCUUAGAAAUAUAAAACUGACAAUGCUCAUGUAUGAUCUUAUUCCCCAACUGGCAUUGAAGAAAAAUAUAGUCGAUUCCACUACACUGACUAAAAUGGAAAAAAUAAAA
Molecule: non-coding RNA, 601 nt
Organism: Camellia sinensis
Lineage: Eukaryota; Viridiplantae; Streptophyta; Magnoliopsida; Ericales; Theaceae
Source: RefSeq, a predicted model, not a curated record